CAGUUGGCCCAGAAGACGGAUGUCAUCACGAUGAAACAACCGAACUUGGGAGAGCCGCUCUUUCUCUGUCCGAACGGCCACGGCAAUCGAAUGGACCACCUGAUCGAGA
This 109-nucleotide non-coding RNA is filed under the name Palpitomonas bilix. The record is from RNAcentral.